RNAcentral lists this ribosomal RNA (331 nucleotides) under uncultured bacterium. Its description in RNAcentral is "bacterial SSU rRNA". It matches the Rfam family "Bacterial small subunit ribosomal RNA", at positions 73 to 422 of the family's 1533-position model. The record is from RNAcentral.
GGCUCCUUCGGGAGUACACGAGCGGCGGACGGCUGAGUAACGCGUAGGAACCUACCCUAAAGUGAGGGAUAAGCACCAGAAAUGGUGUCUAAUACCGCAUAUGCUCUUUAAGAGUAAAGCUACGGCGCUUUGGGAAGGGCCUGCGUAUGAUUAGCUUGUUGGUGAGGUAAAAGCUCACCAAGGCGACGAUCAUUAGCUGGUCUGAGAGGAUGAUCAGCCAGACUGGGACUGAGAACGGCCCAGACUCCUACGGGAGGCAGCAGUAGGGAAUCUUCCACAAUGGGCGAAAGCCUGAUGGAGCAACGCCGCGUGCAGGAUGAAGGCCUUCGGG